GGUUAAGCGACUAAGCGUACACGGUGGAUGCCCUGGCAGUCAGAGGCGAUGAAGGACGUGCUAAUCUGCGAUAAGCGUCGGUAAGGUGAUAUGAACCGUUAUAACCGGCGAUUUCCGAAUGGGGAAACCCAGUGUGAUUCGUCACACUAUCAUUAACUGAAUCCAUAGGUUAAUGAGGCGAACCGGGGAACUGAAACAUCUAAGUACCCCGAGGAAAAGAAAUCAACCGAGAUUCCCCCAGUAGCGGCGAGCGAACGGGGAGCAGCCCAGAGCCUGAAUCAGUGUGUGUGUUAGUGGAAGCGUCUGGAAAGGCGCGCGAUACAGGGUGACAGCCCCGUACACAAAAAUGCACAUGCUGUGAGCUCGAUGAGUAGGGCGGGACACGUGGUAUCCUGUCUGAAUAUGGGGGACCAUCCUCCAAGGCUAAAUACUCCUGACUGACCGAUAGUGAACCAGUACCGUGAGGGAAAGGCGAAAAGAACCCCGGCGAGGGGAGUGAAAAAGAACCUGAAACCGUGUACGUACAAGCAGUGGGAGCACGCUUAGGCGUGUGACUGCGUACCUUUUGUAUAAUGGGUCAGCGACUUAUAUUCUGUAGCAAGGUUAACCGAAUAGGGGAGCCGAAGGGAAACCGAGUCUUAACUGGGCGUUAAGUUGCAGGGUAUAGACCCGAAACCCGGUGAUCUAGCCAUGGGCAGGUUGAAGGUUGGGUAACACUAACUGGAGGACCGAACCGACUAAUGUUGAAAAAUUAGCGGAUGACUUGUGGCUGGGGGUGAAAGGCCAAUCAAACCGGGAGAUAGCUGGUUCUCCCCGAAAGCUAUUUAGGUAGCGCCUCGUGAACUCAUCUCCGGGGGUAGAGCACUGUUUCGGCAAGGGGGUCAUCCCGACUUACCAACCCGAUGCAAACUGCGAAUACCGGAGAAUGUUAUCACGGGAGACACACGGCGGGUGCUAACGUCCGUCGUGAAGAGGGAAACAACCCAGACCGCCAGCUAAGGUCCCAAAGUCAUGGUUAAGUGGGAAACGAUGUGGGAAGGCCCAGACAGCCAGGAUGUUGGCUUAGAAGCAGCCAUCAUUUAAAGAAAGCGUAAUAGCUCACUGGUCGAGUCGGCCUGCGCGGAAGAUGUAACGGGGCUAAACCAUGCACCGAAGCUGCGGCAGCGACGCUUAUGCGUUGUUGGGUAGGGGAGCGUUCUGUAAGCCUGUGAAGGUGUGCUGUGAGGCAUGCUGGAGGUAUCAGAAGUGCGAAUGCUGACAUAAGUAACGAUAAAGCGGGUGAAAAGCCCGCUCGCCGGAAGACCAAGGGUUCCUGUCCAACGUUAAUCGGGGCAGGGUGAGUCGACCCCUAAGGCGAGGCCGAAAGGCGUAGUCGAUGGGAAACAGGUUAAUAUUCCUGUACUUGGUGUUACUGCGAAGGGGGACGGAGAAGGCUAUGUUGGCCGGGCGACGGUUGUCCCGGUUUAAGCGUGUAGGCUGGUUUUCCAGGCAAAUCCGGAAAAUCAAGGCUGAGGCGUGAUGACGAGGCACUACGGUGCUGAAGCAACAAAUGCCCUGCUUCCAGGAAAAGCCUCUAAGCAUCAGGUAACAUCAAAUCGUACCCCAAACCGACACAGGUGGUCAGGUAGAGAAUACCAAGGCGCUUGAGAGAACUCGGGUGAAGGAACUAGGCAAAAUGGUGCCGUAACUUCGGGAGAAGGCACGCUGAUAUGUAGGUGAAGUCCCUCGCGGAUGGAGCUGAAAUCAGUCGAAGAUACCAGCUGGCUGCAACUGUUUAUUAAAAACACAGCACUGUGCAAACACGAAAGUGGACGUAUACGGUGUGACGCCUGCCCGGUGCCGGAAGGUUAAUUGAUGGGGUCAGCGCAAGCGAAGCUCUUGAUCGAAGCCCCGGUAAACGGCGGUACGUAACUAUAACGGUCCUAAGGUAGCGAAAUUCCUUGUCGGGUAAGUUCCGACCUGCACGAAUGGCGUAAUGAUGGCCAGGCUGUCUCCACCCGAGACUCAGUGAAAUUGAACUCGCUGUGAAGAUGCAGUGUACCCGCGGCAAGACGGAAAGACCCCGUGAACCUUUACUAUAGCUUGACACUGAACAUUGAGCCUUGAUGUGUAGGAUAGGUGGGAGGCUUAGAAGUGUGGACGCCAGUCUGCAUGGAGCCGACCUUGAAAUACCACCCUUUAAUGUUUGAUGUUCUAACGUUGACCCGUAAUCCGGGUUGCGGACAGUGUCUGGUGGGUAGUUUGACUGGGGCGGUCUCCUCCUAAAGAGUAACGGAGGAGCACGAAGGUUGGCUAAUCCUGGUCGGACAUCAGGAGGUUAGUGCAAUGGCAUAAGCCAGCUUGACUGCGAGCGUGACGGCGCGAGCAGGUGCGAAAGCAGGUCAUAGUGAUCCGGUGGUUCUGAAUGGAAGGGCCAUCGCUCAACGGAUAAAAGGUACUCCGGGGAUAACAGGCUGAUACCGCCCAAGAGUUCAUAUCGACGGCGGUGUUUGGCACCUCGAUGUCGGCUCAUCACAUCCUGGGGCUGAAGUAGGUCCCAAGGGUAUGGCUGUUCGCCAUUUAAAGUGGUACGCGAGCUGGGUUUAGAACGUCGUGAGACAGUUCGGUCCCUAUCUGCCGUGGGCGCUGGAGAACUGAGGGGGCUGCUCCUAGUACGAGAGGACCGGAGUGGACGCAUCACUGGUGUUCGGGUUGUCAUGCCAAUGGCACUGCCCGGUAGCUAAAUGCGGAAGAGAUAAGUGCUGAAAGCAUCUAAGCACGAAACUUGCCCCGAGAUGAGUUCUCCCUGACUCCUUGAGAGUCCUGAAGGAACGUUGAAGACGACGACGUUGAUAGGCCGGGUGUGUAAGCGCAGCGAUGCGUUGAGCUAACCGGUACUAAUGAACCGUGAGGCUUAACCUU
This 2901-nucleotide ribosomal RNA is filed under the name Escherichia coli. RNAcentral describes it as "23S ribosomal RNA". It matches the Rfam family "Bacterial large subunit ribosomal RNA". Lineage: Bacteria; Pseudomonadati; Pseudomonadota; Gammaproteobacteria; Enterobacterales; Enterobacteriaceae. The record is from RNAcentral.